AACGAACGCUGGCGGCAUGCCUAACACAUGCAAGUCGAACGAGACCUUCGGGUCUAGUGGCGCACGGGUGCGUAACGCGUUGGAACCUGCCCUUAGGUUCGGAAUAACUCCCCGAAAGGGGUGCUAAUACCGGAUAAUGUCUUCGGACCAAAGAUUUAUCGCCUUUGGAUGGGCCCGCGUUGGAUUAGCUAGUUGGUAGGGUAAAAGCCUACCAAGGCGACGAUCCAUAGCUGGUCUGAGAGGAUGAUCAGCCACACUGGGACUGAGACACGGCCCAGACUCCUACGGGAGGCAGCAGUGGGGAAUAUUGGACAAUGGGCGAAAGCCUGAUCCAGCAAUGCCGCGUGAGUGAUGAAGGCCUUAGGGUUGUAAAGCUCUUUUACCCGGGAUGAUAAUGACAGUACCGGGAGAAUAAGCUCCGGCUAACUCCGU
RNAcentral lists this ribosomal RNA (432 nucleotides) under uncultured bacterium. RNAcentral describes it as "partial 16S ribosomal RNA". It matches the Rfam family "Bacterial small subunit ribosomal RNA", at positions 29 to 506 of the family's 1533-position model. The record is from RNAcentral.